AACAAAUAUUUUUGUCUAAUAAGUCAGUUUACAUUUUUGUUGAUAAUGACUUGCAAAUCUUGGAAUGUUGAAAAUGUUCUCUGCGUUGA
Long non-coding RNA from Xenia sp. Carnegie-2017, 89 nucleotides. RefSeq lists it as uncharacterized. NCBI's taxonomy places the organism in Eukaryota, Metazoa, Cnidaria, Anthozoa, Malacalcyonacea, Xeniidae. The record is from RefSeq and is a predicted model, not a curated record. The transcript has 3 exons.